UGCCAGCAGCCGCGGUAAUACGAAGGGGGCUAGCGUUGUUCGGAAUCACUGGGCGUAAAGCGCACGUAGGCGGAUUGGUCAGUUAGGGGUGAAAUCCCAGAGCUCAACUCUGGAACUGCCUUUAAUACUGCCAGUCUUGAGUCCGAGAGAGGUGAGUGGAACUCCGAGUGUAGAGGUGAAAUUCGUAGAUAUUCGGAAGAACACCAGUGGCGAAGGCGGCUCACUGGCUCGGUACUGACGCUGAGGUGCGAAAGCGUGGGGAGCAAACAGGAUUAGAUA
This 279-nucleotide ribosomal RNA is filed under the name uncultured bacterium. RNAcentral describes it as "partial 16S ribosomal RNA". It matches the Rfam family "Bacterial small subunit ribosomal RNA", at positions 506 to 784 of the family's 1533-position model. The record is from RNAcentral.